CGGUUGCCUCCUGAUUGUAGUCUGGAGAGGUGCCAUCGGUCCCCCUCGGCGCCAAAAUCCCUUGGAACGGGGUAUCGGAGAAGGUGAGAAUCCUGUCAUGCGCCGAAGUGGGACCGUACGAUGUGCUCUCGUAGAGUCGGGCUGCUUGGGAGUGCAGCCUGAAGCGGGUGGUAAAUUCCAUCUAAAGCUAAAUACUGGCGGGAGACCGAUAGCGAACAAGUACCGUGAGGGAAAGAUGCAAAGAACUUUGAAAAGAGAGUUAAAGAGUGCUUGAAAUUGGCAGGAGGAAACCCGGUUGCGCGUGGCAUUUGGCGUGGUCGACUCAGCCGCGCGCGGAGACCUGUAGGGGACCUAACGGCCUCGUGGUCAGCGCGCGCGGUGCACUUCGGCCGCGUCGGUCAGCCGCGUUUCUGUGCGGCCCAGACGGCCGUGGGCAGGGCUUCGGCGCAGCCUGCGGUUUGGGGGUCGCGCGGGAUCCCGGCUGAUGCGCACGGGCGCAACCGACCCGUCUAGAAACACGGACCAAGGAGUCUGACGCGUGUGCGAGUACUAGAGUGGCAAGCUCGAGUGCGCAAUGAAAGUGAAGGGCGUGCCCCGUCAACCGAUCUUGAUCUUCUGUGAAGGGUUUGAGUGGAGCACAUCUGUCGGGACCCGAAAGAUGGUGAACUAUGCCUGAGGAGGGUGAAGCCAGAGGAAACUCUGGUGGAGGCUCGUAGCGAUACUGACGUGCAAAUCGUUCGUCGAACUUGGGGUAUAGGGGCGAAAGACUAAUCGAACCAUCUAGUAGCUGGUUCCCUCCGAAGUUUCCCUCAGGAUAGCUUGAACGCCGACGGUUUUGUCAGGUAAAGCGAAUGAUUAGAGGCCUUGGGGCUGAAACAGCCUUAACCUAUUCUCAAACUUUAAAUGGGCAAGAGGCGCCGGAUGCUUGAC
Molecule: ribosomal RNA, 930 nt
Filed under: Phaeocystis sp. JD-2012
Lineage: Eukaryota; Haptophyta; Phaeocystales; Phaeocystaceae
Description: eukaryotic LSU rRNA
Rfam family: Eukaryotic large subunit ribosomal RNA
Source: RNAcentral